CACCGCCCGUCACACCAUGGGAGUUGGUUCUACCCGAAGGCGCUGCGCCAACCCGCAAGGGAGGCAGCGGCCCAAGGUAUGAUUCAUGAUUGGGGUG
Molecule: ribosomal RNA, 97 nt
Filed under: uncultured bacterium
Lineage: Bacteria
Description: partial 16S ribosomal RNA
Source: RNAcentral